GAUGAACGCUAGCUACAGGCUUAACACAUGCAAGUCGCGGGGCAGCAUGGGGGUUGCUUGCAAUCCCCGAUGGCGACCGGCGCACGGGUGAGUAACGCGUAUCCAACCUGCCCUUCACCACGGGAUAACCCGGCGAAAGUCGGACUAAUACCGUAUGUUGUCCAUUGACGGCAUCCGAUUUGGACGAAAGGUUUGGCGGUGAAGGAUGGGGAUGCGUCCGAUUAGCUGGACGGCGGGGUGACGGCCCACCGUGGCGACGAUCGGUAGGGGUUCUGAGAGGAAGGUCCCCCACACCGGAACUGAGACACGGUCCAGACUCCUACGGGAGGCAGCAGUGAGGAAUAUUGGUCAAUGGGCGUAAGCCUGAACCAGCCAAGUAGCGUGCAGGAUGACGGCCCUAUGGGUCGUAAACUGCUUUUAUGCGGGGAUAAAGUGGCCCACGUGUGGGUUUUUGCAGGUACCGCAUGAAUAAGGACCGGCUAAUUCCGUG
RNAcentral lists this ribosomal RNA (490 nucleotides) under uncultured bacterium. RNAcentral describes it as "partial 16S ribosomal RNA". It matches the Rfam family "Bacterial small subunit ribosomal RNA", at positions 28 to 507 of the family's 1533-position model. The record is from RNAcentral.